GCCGACCCAAACAAAUACAUUAUCCCUGAAAAAUAAUUAAAUGAUUCUUUUUUUAUGAAAUGAAAUGCAUGAAUCACUAACAAAAUUGAUAACACUCUGUUGUGAAAAAAUAAAACUUCCAGUUUACGUUUCUGAAAAUAGACAAAUCAAUUAUAACUGACCUUGAAAUGUCGUUUACGCAAAUAAUUUUGCGGAACGAAAUCUGUGUUUAAAACCCAUUACACAAUAAGUUCGUUUCCCUUAUUUGUCAUCAGUAUGUAAGAUGCAUAAUCUCAUAGAAAUAGACUUGUCCAAAUGUGGACAGGUGGAAAGCACCUUGGAAGUAAAAUUCUGAAUAUCAACAAGUCAUUUAGAAUUUUCUUGUUUCAUGGAUAAUAAAAAAAAAUAUCGUCCAUUUGGAUAAAAAACGGGAAUGCAUGACACUAGUUUAUAACCCGAUAUUCUCGUUUUUUCCGUGGACGAGUCUAUUACGUUUUUGACACGUGUGUUGAAACUUAUUUUCGUACGACGUUUUUUACAUUUUUUUCUUUAUCAGUUUUCGUUUUUGAAGAUCAUUACUCACCAAGUUUUCUGGAAUUGAUUAAGAGCUACGCGAAUUUGUUUUUCUUGUUUGUGAAAAGACGAUUUAAUUUCGUCUUUGUCUGUGAACACCCCCUUUUUUACGGCAAAUCAUUAGACAAUGUCAUGCGAAAUUUAUGACAGCUGAGCAAGAAUAUUUCAUCGAACUAAAAUUUGAAAUGACGACAAAAUAGCAUAAAAAACAUUUUGUUAGAAUGGUGAAAUGUAUAUUUAUUUUGCAUUUUUUUUUCUGUCUUGAAAGAUAUUUUUUUUCUUUUUUUUCCCGACCGACCGACCCGACUUUUUCAUGGGGAAAAUCCGUAAACCAACAAAUUAAAAAACCGUGGCCUUACUUUGUUUUCGGUUUUUAUUUUAUAAGAUUUAAAGAUGUUUUUCUUGAGUACUAGUACCUUGUAGGUAUGAACUGUGUUGUUUCUUACUUGAUAUGUGUAGUAUUAAUCUUUUCCCCCCAAUUGCAUUUAACUUUGAAAAAACAUAAUUUUAUCAUUUAUACCAUAACAAUAUAAAUGCCUAUCUAAAUAAAACUUAGAGAACCUUGGCAUAAAUAAAAACAAAUUUCUAAAAGACAUUAGAUUAUGAAGAAUUAAGAUGACAUCAUACAUACGAAGAAACUUUGGAAAGUGUCACACCAGUGAUUCUUUUUGUAUAACUCUGGUAUUCAAAUACUUAAAAUUUCAUUUUUUAUUGGGGAUUUUCUUCAUUGUAUAGAGAGUGCAUUCAUCAUUAGAUUAAUAUUCCCCACAAUGUGAUUUGUAUAUGUAUUUGUUGUAAAUACAGAAAAACAUACAUAAUGAUUAUGAUAUGCUAAUACUUCAUUAUAACAAAUAAUUUUACUUUUAAUUAUGAUGAAUAUUUAAACUGAAUUGACAAUUUAUAUGUCAUGCCCCUUGAUUGUUGCCUUUUGUGUUGAAAAACAAAAAGUAUUCAAAGGACCUUGAGUAACCAGACAGAAAGUCAAAGAGUCACAAAUAAUUCAUUUACAAUUAUUUAAAUGUAUAAAUUAUUGUCUUUUUCUAAGAUAUAUUGCUUAUGCAUUAUUAAUUUUCGAAAAUGGUAAAUUGGUUAAUAAAUUUGUUUGGUUUAUAAUAGAUUAGAAUACAUUAAAAAAAUGUCUGUAUUAGUCUUCCUAUUCAAAAAGAAUUCUCUCAAAAAUACAUUGUGACCUCUUACUCUUUUUAAUUAGUAACUUUUUUGUCUACUUCUUUUAUACCAUAAUAUUAUGCAUGAUAAGUAUGAAUUUUACAUGACGCAUGUCACAUAUGUAUGGAUAAUUAGUCCCCUACUGAUGAAGUCGAAGUAUACUUUAGGUUUGAUCUGUCAGUCCUGCAAAUCAGUUUAAUUUCCGCACUAUUUUUCUUCAUGCUUGAAGAUAUUGAUUUGAUAUUUGGUAGAUUGUCUUAUCAUGACAUGCUACAGAUCACAAUCAUAUUUUGUUCUGAGGCUGCUUUUUUUUUUAGAGUUAUCCUUCGAUUUAGACUUUUUAAAUAAUCAAUUUUCCACACUUCUUUUUUUGUCAUUUUUAAAGAUAUUGAUUUGAUGAUUAGUAUAUAGUUUUAUCAUGACAAGUUACAGUUCAAGUUUGAAUUUUGUUUUGAUUUGUGCAGAGUUAUGGCUCUUGAACUUAGAAAUAUCAAUAAAAUAAUUAGUUUUCGGCACUCUUUUGUCGUGCUAGAAGAUAUUGAUAUGAUAAUUGGUUUAUAUUUUUAUCAUCACAAGUUACAGAUCAAGAUUGAAUUUUGUUUUGGUCUGAUGAUUUUCUGCAGAGUUAUAUUCUUUGAACUUAGAAAAUUCACAUAGAUAAUCAGUUAUCAAAACUUUUUUCAUCAUGUUUGAAGAUAUUGACUUGAUAUUUGUUUACACCAUGACAUGUUAUAGAUCAAGUUAGAAUUUUGUUCCAAUACAGUGAAUUCUUAACACUAGGUGACUAUGUAGGGACUAUUGCCAUGCAAUACUCACAGAAUGCUUGUUUUCUUUAAUAUUUUAUAAACUUUAUUUAGGUAUUACUGAUAAUUUAUUCAAUUACCUAUAUGCAAAUUUAGAAAAUUAGAAGAUUUAUAAUAAAAGAACAAAAUUGA
RNAcentral lists this long non-coding RNA (2654 nucleotides) under Mytilus galloprovincialis (Mediterranean mussel). Lineage: Eukaryota; Metazoa; Mollusca; Bivalvia; Mytilida; Mytilidae. The record is from RNAcentral.